This 759-nucleotide long non-coding RNA is filed under the name Elaeis guineensis (African oil palm). Its description in RNAcentral is "long non-coding RNA (EGUI_LNC033726)". The record is from RNAcentral. Lineage: Eukaryota; Viridiplantae; Streptophyta; Magnoliopsida; Arecales; Arecaceae.
CCUAAUGUAAGUUGGAUAACUUAAGUUAACAAGAAUUCUAAUGCAAGUAGAACUUAUAUUAUAAGAUUGAAUAGGAUUCAAUCCUUAUGUCUUUUUAAAGGGACCUCUCCUAAGAUCUCUAAGCAUUAAAACCAAUAGCCCCUCACACCUAAAGCCUCUUCCCACACCCUCUCUUCCUCUCCCUUUCUCUUCUCUUGGGUGUUCUAUACAUCUCUUCCUUGGGACGCGCAUCCUAAGGAGUUUCAUGUCCAAAAGAGUUUGGGUGCCUCUUUCUUACUGGUUUCUAGCAUUUGGUAGCAGUACAUAGUAAGAAGAAACUCUAAAGAAGAGAAGAAAAAGAAGAUCAAGAAGAAAGAUCAAGUUUUGAUCGCGAUCCAGGCUUCGUUCAGAUUCAGCAGGUUGAAUUUUGGAGAAUCAAAAUUCAGAUUAUAGAGGGCUGUUCCAGACCGAUCCCGAGUAGAUACUCGUAGAGAUCAGAUAUUUGUACAGCUAAUAGAGAGCUUCGUCUCUUUCAGAUCCAGUUUUGAAGAAAGAGAUUGCGAAACAGGUAUGUGAUUUGACCACAAUCUGAAUUUCAGCAUAUAUCAAUUUCAGCAUAUAAAAUAGAUCCAUAUGAUUUUAUAUUUUUAUGCAUGCAUAAUUCAAAUUAAAAUUAUUUUAAUCUUAUUCUCUACUGUGAUGUUUAGAAAAUGAAGUUUUGAAAUACACAUGCAUGCAUCAAACCCAGAAUUCCAACACUGGUAUCAGAGUCACAGGUUU